This is a long non-coding RNA of Homo sapiens (human), 879 nucleotides long. NCBI's taxonomy places the organism in Eukaryota, Metazoa, Chordata, Mammalia, Primates, Hominidae. The record is from Ensembl.
AGUUCACAUAGACCAGGCUUCCUCUUUAGAGGCAUAAGCUGUAAAACAGGAGAGUCUGUUUUAAGAGGAUCUGUUUGAAGUUUAAUGUAACUGAAGUCCAUGCACCUGAAGCCAUUAAUUGAUAUAAGUGAAGUAAGUCUUUGGGUUUCCGGUAGCUCUGACUCAGAUUCUGCUUGCCUCUUCUCCAUGAGAUUACCAAGGCAUCAGGGCAGAGACUCCCUGAGGAUGAGUGGAUCUGGUUCAGAACAUCUGUGAACACAGAGGGAGUGGAAACUUCACUUUCAACAUCAUCAGCCAACUUCCCUCCCAUUACAAUUCUAUCUCAAGAUCAAGGUCAUGCAACAAAACCAGCAGCUUCUUCAAGUGGACUCUCUCUCCAGAAACAUCGUCUGGGCCUUCCUACAGCAUGGCAGCUGGGUUCCUGAAGAACAAAAGCAGAACUUUCCAAACGCUUAAAGGGCUAGGUCUGGAGCUGCACAGCUUCACAUCUGCCACGUGGUAUUGGCCAAAGCAAGUGACAAGGGCACUCCAAAUUCAAGGGAAGGGGAAAACAGAUUCCACCUUUGAUUGGAGGAAUAGCAGGAGAGCAUAGUGAGGGAAGAAGUUGAUGGUCCUCCUUGAAAACUACCUAACACAUUGGGUAAUAUUUAGCAGUGUCUCAUUUUCCCAUUGGCAGGAAUCGCUCACUAUUUCAUGACAUACGGUCACAAAUAAAAAGUACUGCCAAUAGCUUUGUUCUCGCCAAAGAAUGGAGUGGCUGAGCACAUGAAAAAUAGCAUAUCACCUAAAUGUAUACAAAUCAAUGCCCAUAGUGCCUUUACCACUGUAUUAUUACUAUGGUCUUUGGAUAAACAAAAAUACAUGUUUUUAAAUGCACAA